RNAcentral lists this long non-coding RNA (520 nucleotides) under Mus spicilegus (steppe mouse). RNAcentral's name for it is "lncRNA (ENSMSIG00000008328.1)". The record is from RNAcentral. Lineage: Eukaryota; Metazoa; Chordata; Mammalia; Rodentia; Muridae.
CUUGCAUGAUAGGCUUGUGUUGGAUUGCUCCUUGCAUAGGUAACACUCCACUCAAAGAGGGAAUGGACAAAUGUACCUGAAAGCAGGAUUUUGUUUAUUUCAAAAGUUUCUCCACUGAGAAAUCAUUCUGGAGUGCAUUCUCUCAUCUGUGUGAGGCUGAAUCGUAAUUGGAUUUAACAUCUCUAUAAAGUCAUCGACAAAUUCUUUCAAGAGACACAGAAAAAGAAACAAGUCAAAAUUUACAUCUAACAAGUCAUUUGGUGUGCUAGCCUAUCUACAAGGACCUAAUUGACAGACAUUUCACCCCCUAUAACCUAUUCUCGUUUUCUCCAGAUUUUUAGCAGCUUCACUGGAAAUUUCCAGCAAGAAAUCUGCCUUCAGAGUUCAUCUGUUCCUGUUAGGCUGCUCUUACAUUGAAUGUAUGUGUGAGAAUAGCAAUUUCUACUAUUUUAGCAGCUAUCCAUUUGAUUCACCUCGAGUUUUGGAAGCAAAGUUGGACACAGGGAGAAAUAACUCUAAU